GAAUAUUGGACAAUGGGCGCAAGCCUGAUCCAGCCACGCCGCGCGAGUGAUGAAGGCCCUAGGGUUGUAAAGCUUUUUCACCGGUGAAGAUAAUGACGGUAACCGGAGGAGAAGCCCCGGCUAACUGCGUGCCAGCAGCCGCGGUAAUACGAAGGGGGCUAGCGUUGUGCGGAUUUACUGGGCGUAAAGCGCACGUAUGCGGACUAUUAAGUCAGGGGUGAAAUCCCGGGGCUCACCCCCGGAACUGCCUUGGAUACUGGUAGUCUUGAGUUCGAGGGAGGUGAGUGGAAUUCCGAGUGUAGAGGUGAAAUUCGUAGAUAUACGAAGGAACACCAGUGGCGAAGGCGGCUCACUGGCUCGAUACUGACGCUGAGGUGCGAAAGCGUGGGGAGCAAACA
Molecule: ribosomal RNA, 398 nt
Filed under: uncultured bacterium
Lineage: Bacteria
Description: partial 16S ribosomal RNA
Rfam family: Bacterial small subunit ribosomal RNA
Source: RNAcentral